AUUGAACGCUGGCGGCAGGCCUAACACAUGCAAGUCGAACGAACUCUUCGGAGUUAGUGGCGGACGGGUGAGUAACACGUGGGAACGUGCCCUUUGGUACGGAAUAACUCAGGGAAACUUGAGCUAAUACCGUAUGUGCCCUUCGGGGGAAAGAUUUAUCGCCAUUGGAGCGGCCCGCGUCUGAUUAGCUAGUUGGUGAGGUAAAGGCUCACCAAGGCGACGAUCAGUAGCUGGUCUGAGAGGAUGAUCAGCCACAUUGGGACUGAGACACGGCCCAAACUCCUACGGGAGGCAGCAGUGGGGAAUCUUGCGCAAUGGGCGAAAGCCUGACGCAGCCAUGCCGCGUGAAUGAUGAAGGUCUUAGGAUUGUAAAAUUCUUUCACCGGGGACGAUAAUGACGGUACCCGGAGAAGAAGCCCCGGCUAACUUCGUGCCAGCCGCCGCGGUAA
This 449-nucleotide ribosomal RNA is filed under the name uncultured bacterium. RNAcentral describes it as "partial 16S ribosomal RNA". It matches the Rfam family "Bacterial small subunit ribosomal RNA", at positions 30 to 523 of the family's 1533-position model. The record is from RNAcentral.